Molecule: ribosomal RNA, 711 nt
Filed under: Triticum aestivum (bread wheat)
Lineage: Eukaryota; Viridiplantae; Streptophyta; Magnoliopsida; Poales; Poaceae
Description: partial small subunit ribosomal RNA
Source: RNAcentral
AUGACUCGGGAGCUGCCAGAGCUCGCCAACGACGCUGACCAACCGCUAGCACCGGCGCCCUUACCGUGGCGGCCUUCAUGGUGCUCGGUGAACACCUCAUGGCGUACAGGUCGCGACGCACAGAUUGCCAUGAACAGGUCCACGGUGAACAGGUUCAUGGCAAAGGGUACACCGGCGUACAGGUUUUGCAUCACGCUCUUGGAGGAGACGAAGUGGUGCAACCGGAGCUCACUGACGACACAACCCGAGACUCGCCUUCCCCUUCACGGUGUACAGGUCCUUGGUGGAACCAAUAUCCGCAACGACGGAUCUAAGACCGGUUCCUCCUUCAUAAGGCCCGCGUCCUCGACGAACAGGUCAAUGGCGUACAGAUCCUUCACCGAACCAAAGAUUGCAACGACUCUGUACAAGACCGGUCCCUCCUUCGAGAGGCGCACCCACCAUGGCGGACAGUUCCUCGGCGUACAGGUCCAUGGCAUCGCCGGCGCACAGGUCACUCUUUCGCGUAGUACCAGCCCAAGGCGAUGCGGCCUCUGCGAUACCACUUUCCACGGCCCCGUGAGGCGGCCCCUUUGUCUUGGCGGACCGCCGAAUACUCGGCGUCUAGCCGAGACGAGGUGCCAACCACCCCGGGCACGCCUAUGUGAGCAUGAGUUGGGUUUUUUUACACUGACGCCGGUCUCCCCAAACCGUUACUCGCGCAAGGAGUAG